AAUGAACGCUGGCGGCAUGCCUAACACAUGCAAGUCGAACGAAGGCUUCGGCCUUAGUGGCGCCCGGGUGCGUAACGCGUGGGAAUAUGCCCUUGGGUUUGGCAUACCAGCUGGAAACGGCUGCUAAUACCGGAUGAUGACGAAAGUCCAAAGAUUUAUCGCCAGAGGAUGAGCCCGCGUUGGAUUCGGUAGUUGGUGGGGUAAAGGCCUACCAAGCCGACGAUCCAUAGCUGGUCUGAGAGGAUGAUCAGCCACACUGGGGCUGAGACGCGGCCCAGACUCCUACGGGAGGCAGCAGAGGGGAAUGGAGGACAGGGGCCGCAAGGAUGAAGCAGCACUGCCGGGAGAGUGAUGAAGUUCGUAGGGUAGUAAAGCUCUAUUACCCGGGAAGAUAAUGACGGUACCGGGAGAAUAAGCCCCGGCUAACUCCGUG
Molecule: ribosomal RNA, 433 nt
Filed under: uncultured bacterium
Lineage: Bacteria
Description: partial 16S ribosomal RNA
Rfam family: Bacterial small subunit ribosomal RNA
Source: RNAcentral